GAUUAACGCUGGCGGCGUGCAUGAAACAUGCAAGUCGAGCGCGAUGCGAGCUUGCUCGCAUCUAGCGGCGCACGGGUGAGUAACACGUGAGCAACCUACCUCGGAGCCCGGGAUAGCCCUGAGAAAUCAGGAUUAAUACCGGAUGAUGUCGCCGUGGGGCAUCCCAUGGCGAAGAAAGGCUUCGGCCACUCCAAGACGGGCUCGCGGCCUANAGCUUGUUGGUGGGUAAUGGCCUACCAAGGCGAAGAUGGGUAGCUGGUCUGAGAGGACGAUCAGCCACAC
Molecule: ribosomal RNA, 282 nt
Filed under: uncultured bacterium
Lineage: Bacteria
Description: partial 16S ribosomal RNA
Rfam family: Bacterial small subunit ribosomal RNA
Source: RNAcentral